This is a long non-coding RNA of Lepidothrix coronata (blue-crowned manakin), 190 nucleotides long. RefSeq lists it as uncharacterized. NCBI's taxonomy places the organism in Eukaryota, Metazoa, Chordata, Aves, Passeriformes, Pipridae. The record is from RefSeq and is a predicted model, not a curated record. The transcript has 3 exons.
GGAACUUUAGCAGUACUGAUCCCAGCAGAACAAUGAAUAUGGAUUCUACAUAAAAAAAAAAAGGUGGAUUGUAUCACUGUCAGAUUGCUUUCCUAUGUAAGACAUGAGGACAAGCUGAAUCCAGAGAUUAGAAAAUGAAGAUUAAACACCUUUAUGCUUUGGAACUCCUCAUGACCUUGUUGUGUCCCUG